Gracilinanus agilis (Agile Gracile Mouse Opossum) is the source of this 83-nucleotide small nucleolar RNA. RefSeq annotates it as small nucleolar RNA U2-19. The record is from RefSeq and is a predicted model, not a curated record. The transcript has a single exon. NCBI's taxonomy places the organism in Eukaryota, Metazoa, Chordata, Mammalia, Didelphimorphia, Didelphidae.
GAUUAGUGAUGAAAAAUAGCCAAGUAAUAGCAUCAAGAGUCCUUCUUGUCUUUAUGGUGCAAGAUCUGUAUGUGUUUCUGAAA